Daucus carota subsp. sativus is the source of this 657-nucleotide long non-coding RNA. RefSeq lists it as uncharacterized. The transcript is spliced from 2 exons. NCBI's taxonomy places the organism in Eukaryota, Viridiplantae, Streptophyta, Magnoliopsida, Apiales, Apiaceae. The record is from RefSeq and is a predicted model, not a curated record.
UUUUGCUUUUUUGAGCUUCUUCCGAACUCUCCACGGCUUCCAUGGACUUAGUUUUCUCACUAUCCGGAGAGUCCAUCGCUGAUUCCUCAGCAAUUCGAGCCUCCUCCUCCAUCCGCCAACGCUGCAGCUCCACUGCCUGGGCCGUGCUAUACAUUUCCAUCGUUUUCUGUAGCUCAAGCUUUAGCCUCCUCAUUUCAGCUUCAGCAUCGUCCUGCAAUUUUAUGCACGCACCAAUAAGCCAGAACAAUUUAUCAAUACAUUGAUGCUUUGAGUUGGUGCCAAGUCUAUUGCUUCAUUUACCGUGGUGUUGGUGCUAUAGGAUGAUGAUAUUGAUGUUCUUUCACUUUCAAAUGAGGAUUGGGAAGAUAAAUCAUUAAGGGAACUAAUGUCAGAAUCCCUGCCGCCAUAUCGAAAUGACGAACGACCACUUUGGUCUGAGCUGGUGGACAUGCGUGGAGUUCUUCCUGAAUCCAUGCUAUCAUAGGCUGGCAUUCGAUCAGUACUAGGUCUGCCGGAGCUUACAAAUGAUAUAUCAGUAUCAUUGUCACAAACCUCUCCAAUCCUCGAACUCAAAUCUCUUCCCCUACUGUAUGCAGACGACCUGUUACUGUUAUUGACAGAAUCAAAUUCAUCUGGAAUAAAUAUUAAAUCCAUAAA